CUAAUUUCUAAAUUAACCCCAUUCGUGCAGCCUAUCUUAACCUUUUGCAGGCUCUUAUGGAAAUUAGUUACUUGGUUAGGUUGGAGUAGGCUUGAUGAUACUGCAACAAUUUGGAGGGGUUAGUGGCUUUCUUUUCUAUACAAAUUCCAUAUUUAUCUCCGCAGGCUUUUGGGAUAGUCUUGGAACGAUAGCAACGGUUGCUGUUAAGGUCCCAUUGACAACUUUAGGAGUGCUUUUGAUGGAUAAAUGUGGAAGACGGCCACUUUUACUGGAAGCUUCCUCACAGCUCUAUCAUUCUUCUUGAAGGAUUUACAUAAAUGGAAUGGAAUCAGUCCCAUUAUGGCGCUUGUUGGUGUAGUGGUGUAUAUGGGAUCUUUCUCGCUAGGCUUGGCAGGAAUUCCGUGGGUAAUAAUGUCUGAGAUAUUUUCCAUUAAUGCGAAGGGCUCUGCUUGAAGUUUAGUAACCUUGGUUAACUGGUCGUGCUCUUGGAUUGUUUCAUAUGCUUUUAACUUUCUCGUGAGUUGGAGUUCGGAAGCUACAGAAUUCAUGCAUAAUAAACACACCCAGUUAUUCAAAACAAAGGAGUGCUUCGCAUUCGCAGGUCUGAAGGGAAAUAAUAUUCAGCAAGUAACAGUAGUUAUUGUAUUGUAUGUUUUUUUUUCAAUAUUAUUUUAUGUCUCAUCUUACAUUUCUCAUUUAAUUUUCUGUUACUAUUUAGUAAUAAAAAAAAACUGUACAAAUAUCAUAGUGUGGAAAUAAAUACCAUUGUGAAAAAAUAAUGCAAUGGUAUGUGUUGGGUUGAAAAAAAAU
Long non-coding RNA from Glycine soja, 810 nucleotides. RefSeq lists it as uncharacterized. NCBI's taxonomy places the organism in Eukaryota, Viridiplantae, Streptophyta, Magnoliopsida, Fabales, Fabaceae. The transcript is spliced from 8 exons. The record is from RefSeq and is a predicted model, not a curated record.